UAAUUGGUAGUUCUGCGGUAGAACUCUCAUUUUCCAUGCAGGAGACCUGGGUUCAAUUCCCAACCAGUGAA
This 71-nucleotide transfer RNA is filed under the name Loxodonta africana (African savanna elephant). It matches the Rfam family "tRNA". Rfam says of the family: Transfer RNA (tRNA) molecules are approximately 80 nucleotides in length. Their secondary structure includes four short double-helical elements and three loops (D, anti-codon, and T loops). Lineage: Eukaryota; Metazoa; Chordata; Mammalia; Proboscidea; Elephantidae. The record is from Rfam by way of RNAcentral.